UACGUAGGGUGCAAGCGUUAAUCGGAAUUACUGGGCGUAAAGCGUGCGCAGGCGGUCUUGCAAGACAGAUGUGAAAUCCCCGGGCUCAACCUGGGAACUGCAUUUGUGACUGCAAGGCUGGAGUGCGGCAGAGGGGGAUGGAAUUCCGCGUGUAGCAGUGAAAUGCGUAGAGAUGUGGAGGAACACCGAUGGCGAAGGCAGCCUUCUGGGCCAACACUGACGCUCAUGCACGAAAGCGUGGGGAGCAAACAGG
Molecule: ribosomal RNA, 253 nt
Filed under: uncultured bacterium
Lineage: Bacteria
Description: partial 16S ribosomal RNA
Rfam family: Bacterial small subunit ribosomal RNA
Source: RNAcentral